Panicum virgatum (switchgrass) is the source of this 1653-nucleotide RNA transcript. RefSeq lists it as uncharacterized. The record is from RefSeq and is a predicted model, not a curated record. The transcript is spliced from 3 exons. NCBI's taxonomy places the organism in Eukaryota, Viridiplantae, Streptophyta, Magnoliopsida, Poales, Poaceae.
ACCACUCCCCUUCCUCUCUCCUCGCCGCCAGUCCUGGGGAGCCAUACUACGGUAAUUAGGUCGCGCCGCGCUCAGCCGUCGCCGUCUCUACCGCAGGCACCCACGCUUCCCAAUCCCUCUGCCGCCGUACCUACCAUCGCAGCCCCUUCUCCCUUCCCCGCCGUCUCGUUUUCGGGAGAAUGACGUCCUCGCCGCAGCGCGGUCGGUUCAAGCGCAGGCGUGGCUGUGGCUUGAGGGCCCCCUCGGUGGUGUUGCCAUGUUCUCCAAUUGGUCCUGCUGCUACUCAGAUUCUUCCAGUUCGUCCUGCUGCUACUCAGAUUAUCCCAAAUCGAAAAGCGUGAGAAGUUGCUAUCAUUUGUCGCUUCCAAAGUACCUGUGAUGGAAAUUUCCAUACCAGGUGAUACCAGGAAGUAUGUCAAAUCCUCUGAUCCUGCUAGACACACCACCACUGCCAUUGUGCAUUGGCUAUGUGAUCUCCAUAACCAUGGUUGGACACUGGAUGGGCAAUUUGAUGCUUCAGAUUUUGGUAUUACUCGUCUCGGUGCUCUUAAAGGAGAAAUACACCUCAUGAAUAAGUUGAAGAAGCUCGGAGGGCAGAUGAGGUGGAAGGACAUGGAAGCAGGGGCCAAUAUGAUCGAGCACGCUGUAUAUUUUGAUGGUUUACUAGUUGGACUGCCUGUUGACACCGAGAACCUAAUAUCGCUGAUGAGGAACUUCAAGCGCAAAAAAUAUUUUCUGAUUAAGUUCCAUAUUUGCCAUGACAAUGAAGCAAUGAAAUAUUCUGUGUUUGUUGUGAUGUAUAACCGGCUGAUGAUAAUUCAGGCUCUGGACAAUGUAAAGUACAGAAGAAUCAUAAACAAGAUUCAGUGUGGCAUGAAGAACAGGAUUGACAGAUCUAAGAAGAAUCUCAACCAUGGCCAGGCUCAUUUUGUAAAAGAUGACUCUGUUGACAUUUGGAGUCGGCAAGUAGGUUUAGUGGCAGCGAUAGCAGCUUCAGAGAAGCUUGCAGCAUCAAAGAAGCUCGUGGCGGCUGGGACAGCAGGAACUCAACCACCGCCACCACAACAGGCAGUAGUCGCAGAUCAAGCGGAGCACAUGUAUAGUGUCAUAGUGCCUAAGAUGUUGUGUCAGUUUCAGAAGGCUAUGCACAUGGAAGGCGAACUACAUAAUCUCGGGUGGUAUGAAGAGUCACUUGUCCGCCUCAUUCGCAAAUGACCUGAUCAUGGUCAGUGGAGUAUCAUGUGGAUCUAGCUAUAGGGUUUAGGUGAGCUUUAGCAGCAGAAAAUAUUGGGAUCUAGCUUAGUACUAUGGUUGUAAAAUGUGUUCCUGAAUUGUUCGCUACUAUGGGUCUUUGGCAAAUUUUGGGUAGCAACUGAUGGCGGUAAUGGUUGUUGGCAAGUGAUGGCCACUAUCAAUGAUGUAGCAACGACAGUUGCAUGCUUAAGUUCUGAAUUGGUGUGUGAUUGGACAUCAACAAUAUGUGUGCUUCAGGAUCAGUUGUGACUGAUCUGGUCAGACCUAGUACUUAAGGAUUUGUAUCUUGAUCUAAUAAUGUCUUAUGUUUAACAUCUGGUGGCCUCAUACUUUGCUUAUCAGUUGUCUUGUACCAGUUAGCUUGGGAUUGAAACUAUUAACUAUAAUUUUAAUGUUCUC